Molecule: ribosomal RNA, 539 nt
Filed under: uncultured bacterium
Lineage: Bacteria
Description: partial 16S ribosomal RNA
Rfam family: Bacterial small subunit ribosomal RNA
Source: RNAcentral
UGGGGAAUUUUGGACAAUGGGCGAAAGCCUGAUCCAGCAAUGCCGCGUGUGUGAAGAAGGCCUUCGGGUUGUAAAGCACUUUUGUCCGGAAAGAAAUCCUUGGCUCUAAUACAGUCGGGGGAUGACGGUACCGGAAGAAUAAGCACCGGCUAACUACGUGCCAGCAGCCGCGGUAAUACGUAGGGUGCAAGCGUUAAUCGGAAUUACUGGGCGUAAAGCGUGCGCAGGCGGUUUGCUAAGACCGAUGUGAAAUCCCCGGGCUCAACCUGGGAAACUGCAUUGGUGACUGGCAGGCUAGAGUAUGGCAGAGGGGGGUAGAAUUCCACGUGUAGCAGUGAAAAUGCGUAGAGAUGUGGAGGAAUACCGAUGGCGAAGGCAGCCCCCUGGGCCAAAUACUGACGCUCAUGCACGAAAAGCGUGGGGAGCAAACAGGAUUAGAUACCCUGGUAGUCCACGCCCUAAAACGAUGUCAACUAGUUGUUGGGGGAUUCAUUUCCUUAGUAACGUAGCUAACGCGUGAAGUUGACCGCCUGGGGAGU